This 547-nucleotide ribosomal RNA is filed under the name uncultured bacterium. RNAcentral's name for it is "bacterial SSU rRNA". It matches the Rfam family "Bacterial small subunit ribosomal RNA", at positions 355 to 896 of the family's 1533-position model. The record is from RNAcentral.
UAGGGAAUCUUCGGCAAUGGACGGAAGUCUGACCGAGCAACGCGCGUGAGUGAAGAAGGUUUUCGGAUCGUAAAGCUCUGUUGUAAGAGAAGAACGGGUGUGAGAGUGGAAAGUUCACACUGUGACGGUAUCUUACCAGAGAGGGACGGCUAACUACGUGCCAGCAGCCGCGGUAAUACGUAGGUCCCGAGCGUUGUCCGGAUUUAUUGGGCGUAAAGCGAGCGCAGGCGGUUAGAUAAGUCUGAAGUUAAAGGCUGUGGCUUAACCAUAGUACGCUUUGGAAACUGUUUAACUUGAGUGCAAGAGGGGAGAGUGGAAUUCCAUGUGUAGCGGUGAAAUGCGUAGAUAUAUGGAGGAACACCGGUGGCGAAAGCGGCUCUCUGGCUUGUAACUGACGCUGAGGCUCGAAAGCGUGGGGAGCAAACAGGAUUAGAUACCCUGGUAGUCCACGCCGUAAACGAUGAGUGCUAGGUGUUAGACCCUUUCCGGGGUUUAGUGCCGCAGCUAACGCAUUAAGCACUCCGCCUGGGGAGUACGACCGCNNUUG